RNAcentral lists this long non-coding RNA (517 nucleotides) under Lynx pardinus (Iberian lynx). The record is from RNAcentral. Lineage: Eukaryota; Metazoa; Chordata; Mammalia; Carnivora; Felidae.
GUCCCACCCCCCUGCCUCCUCUUCUCCUUAGCCACCUUUCCCGGGUGAGCCUUGGGGCAGCAGGCUGUGUGUCAUGACUGAUCUAGCAGAGCUUCUCCCCCAGCCAUAUGCCUCUCGUGGGCUAUGAGGUGUGGUUGGGCACCUUGUUCCAGAACCCACAGCCAGGAGAGCCAGGCCUGCAGCAGGUCCCAGUGGCCAAGAUGGUGUGUGGGCCCUCCGGCUCCCAGCUUGUUCUGCUCAAGCUGGAGAGGUGUGUGACAAGUCAAGAAGGUGUGAGGUGGGGCUGACCCUUGGGGGCUCACAUCCUGAGUGCCCUCAUUUCCCAUUAAAGACCUGUGACCCUGAACCAGCGAGUGGCACUCAUCUGCCUGCCCCCCGAGAGGUAUGUGGUGCCACCAGGUACCAAGUGUGAGAUCGCAGGCUGGGGUGAGACCAAAGGUAAGAAAAAGCACAGCACAGUGGCAUGGACUACCCCAGGCCAGGAGGCCUAGCCUCAAAUUCUAUCCAGAGGCCCUCU